Molecule: long non-coding RNA, 1437 nt
Filed under: Setaria viridis
Lineage: Eukaryota; Viridiplantae; Streptophyta; Magnoliopsida; Poales; Poaceae
Description: long non-coding RNA (SVIR_LNC006231)
Source: RNAcentral
GGAUAGACCCUCCGAUCCAGACACUGUACUUGCGCUCAGGUGGAGCAACCACCUUGAUCUUCAUGCUGCUCGGAGCAAGGGCGGUGAUCUCCUUGCUCAUACGGUCAGCGAUGCCUGGGAACAUUGUUGAGCCUCCACUGAGCACAAUGUUGCCGUACAGGUCCUUCCUGAUAUCCACAUCACACUUCAUGAUGGAGUUGUAGGUAGUCUCAUGGAUUCCAGGAGAUUCCAUGCCAAUCAUAGAUGGCUGGAAGAGGACCUCAGGGCACCUAAACCUCUCCGCGCCGAUGGUAAUCACCUGGCCAUCAGGCAGCUCGUAGCUCUUCUCAACCGAGGAGCUGUUCUUGGCAGUCUCCAGCUCCUGCUCAUAGUCAAGGGCCACGUAUGCAAGCUUCUCCUUGAUGUCCCUCACAAUUUCCCGCUCAGCAGAGGUGGUGAAAGAGUAUCCUCUCUCAGUGAGGAUCUUCAUGAGAGAAUCCGUGAGGUCACGGCCAGCAAGAUCCAGACGAAGGAUAGCAUGAGGAAGUGCAUAUCCUUCAUAGAUGGGCACAGUGUGGCUCACACCAUCACCAGAGUCAAGAACAAUACCUGCCAAGUUAUGAACAGGGUUAGCUAGAUACUACUAGAACUGAUAAUUGGUUCACUACUGGUAAUCACAUUUUUCAUCUACCUAACUCUACUGUAUACUAACCUAUGUAUAGAAGACAAAAAUUACACAAGCAUGCAAUGACAAAUUGGAUGCAAACAAGUACUUGAUAAUCACCCAGGUUUAUAUGUUAACAUAUCAGUUGCUUCAAUGAGGUACGACGCAGCUCAACAAUAUUAUGAAUAUAAUUAAUGCAAAACUGGGAAGAGAACGACAAGCGGAAUGGAAUACUUCAUACCUGUGGUACGACCACUAGCAUAGAGUGAAAGCACAGCUUGAAUUGCAACAUACAUGGCAGGGACAUUGAAGGUCUCAAACAUGAUCUGUGUCAUCUUCUCCCUGUUAGCUUUGGGGUUCAAAGGAGCUUCAGUGAGCAACACUGGGUGCUCCUCAGGUGCAACACGGAGCUCAUUGUAGAAAGUGUGAUGCCAGAUCUUCUCCAUGUCAUCCCAGUUGCUGACAAUACCGUGCUCGAUUGGGUACUUCAACGUGAGAAUACCUCUCUUGGACUGUGCCUCGUCUCCGACAUAUGCAUCCUUCUGCCCCAUUCCUACCAUCACACCAGUGUGGCGAGGACGACCAACAAUGCUAGGGAAAACAGCCCUUGGUGCAUCGUCACCAGCAAACCCAGCCUGCAAAAUUAAAUACAAUUCAAAUUGGUGUAGUUGCAGUGGGAGAUGAAAUAUGUAACCCUGAUUAUUAAGGGAUGAAGUUCCUAACCUUGACCAUUCCAGUUCCAUUGUCACAGACAAGAGGCUGGAUAUCCUCACCGUCAGCCAUUUCCUACAGGU